GACGAACGCUGGCGGCGUGCCUAAUACAUGCAAGUAGAACGCUGAAGGAGGAGCUUGCUUCUCUGGAUGAGUUGCGAACGGGUGAGUAACGCGUAGGUAACCUGCCUGGUAGCGGGGGAUAACUAUUGGAAACGAUAGCUAAUACCGCAUAACAGUAGAUAUCGCAUGAUAUCUACUUGAAAGGUGCAAUUGCAUCACUACCAGAUGGACCUGCGUUAUAUUAGCUAGUUGGUGAGGUAACGGCUCACCAAGGCGACGAUACAUAGCCGACCUGAGAGGGUGAUCGGCCACACUGGGACUGAGACACGGCCCAGACUCCUACGGGAGGCAGCAGUAGGGAAUCUUCGGCAAUGGACGGAAGUCUGACCGAGCAACGCCGCGUGAGUGAAGAAGGUUUUCGGAUCGUAAAGCUCUGUUGUAAGAGAAGAACGAGUGUGAGAGUGGAAAGUUCACACUGUGACGGUAUCUUACCAGAAAGGGACGGCUAACUACGUG
This 495-nucleotide ribosomal RNA is filed under the name uncultured bacterium. Its description in RNAcentral is "partial 16S ribosomal RNA". It matches the Rfam family "Bacterial small subunit ribosomal RNA", at positions 28 to 507 of the family's 1533-position model. The record is from RNAcentral.